This 88-nucleotide transfer RNA is filed under the name Luteimonas viscosa. RNAcentral describes it as "Luteimonas sp. XBU10 tRNA-Ser". It matches the Rfam family "tRNA". Rfam says of the family: Transfer RNA (tRNA) molecules are approximately 80 nucleotides in length. Their secondary structure includes four short double-helical elements and three loops (D, anti-codon, and T loops). RNAcentral also lists the same sequence under 2 other names. The record is from RNAcentral. Lineage: Bacteria; Pseudomonadati; Pseudomonadota; Gammaproteobacteria; Lysobacterales; Lysobacteraceae.
GGAAGGGUGGCAGAGUGGUCGAUUGCAGCGGUCUUGAAAACCGCCGAUGGGAAACCAUCCGUGGGUUCGAAUCCCACCCCUUCCGCCA